GGGGUCGACUGGUUUUGACAGCAAGUGGAAUUAGAUUGUAAGCAUGUUGAGCAUUGAGGUGUUGCUCAUUAAUAUAAUGUCUCAAAAUUUUACACGGCGAAAAUACUUACGCUUUAGCUGCUUAAUCCGAAUUAUAGUACGAUUUGCCUAGUCCCGACCAGGUCGGGAAGCUGGAUUCUCCUGAAAAGCCUUGGUUUAUGGCGUUUCGUCAAGGAGAACCGUAAAAGUAAACCUAGAGAAGGUAAUGCUUUAAAUCCUUCUUGACAUUGAUAAAGCUAAGUGUUGUGUUGCUGUUCUUGGCGUAGCAUAACAUCGAAAAUUUAAUCAGGAACUAAACAUGUAGAAAGCUUUUUGAUUGCUUGUUUGGACCCGAGUUCGAUUCUCGGCGACUCCACAG
This 397-nucleotide transfer-messenger RNA is filed under the name Flavobacterium amnicola. RNAcentral's name for it is "Standard tmRNA". It matches the Rfam family "transfer-messenger RNA". Rfam says of the family: Bacterial tmRNA, also known as 10Sa RNA or SsrA, is named for its dual tRNA and mRNA-like properties. Its role is to liberate the mRNA from a stalled ribosome. To accomplish this part of the tmRNA is used as a reading frame that ends in a translation stop signal. Lineage: Bacteria; Pseudomonadati; Bacteroidota; Flavobacteriia; Flavobacteriales; Flavobacteriaceae. The record is from Rfam by way of RNAcentral.